UACGGGGGGGGCAAGCGUUGUUCGGAAUUACUGGGCGUAAAGGGCUCGUAGGUGGCCAACUAAGUCAGACGUGAAAUCCCUCGGCUUAACCGGGGAACUGCGUCUGAUACUGGAUGGCUUGAGUUCGGGAGAGGGAAGCGGAAUUCCGGGUGUAGCGGUGAAAUGCGUAGAUAUCCGGAGGAACACCGGUGGCGAAGGCGGCUUCCUGGACCGACACUGACGCUGAGGCGCGAAAGCUAGGGGAGCAAACGGG
Molecule: ribosomal RNA, 253 nt
Filed under: uncultured bacterium
Lineage: Bacteria
Description: partial 16S ribosomal RNA
Rfam family: Bacterial small subunit ribosomal RNA
Source: RNAcentral